This 1138-nucleotide long non-coding RNA is filed under the name Strigops habroptila (Kakapo). RNAcentral describes it as "lncRNA (ENSSHBG00005007922.1)". The record is from RNAcentral. Lineage: Eukaryota; Metazoa; Chordata; Aves; Psittaciformes; Psittacidae.
UGGAAACUUAGCAUUUGUGCCAUAUUCAGCAGAUUAUAUGCAUUAUAUAUGAUUGAAACACUGUACAGUUAGAUUUUAAAUAUACCAUGUACAGAAAGUGUAUCAGGUAACUAACUUAUGAGUAUUUUUGAAAGACCGGUACCUCACAAAAAUAUCAAUUGGCUUCCUGCAUGGAAAAUGAUAAAGAAUUUUCUCAUGGUGCAUUUUAAUGUAGUUAUUCAGUUACCUUAAACAUCUGUAGCAUAUUUGAACUUCGAGGCACUAAUGGUUUUAUUUAUUGUUCAAAAAGCAGGUUGAAAGAUUAAUGAAAAAUUUUUACAGGAAAAUUCAUUUUAUUUAUCCUACAUAAGAAGAGUUUUAAAAUGUAGCAGCUGAUUUGGUUUUUGUGGGGUAAGCUUUUCCUCAUUACUAAUUAACUAGUACUUUAAAAACAUCUCUGUACACAUUUCUUUACAAAGGCAUCAAUUUGUUUCUUGUCAGCACUCCUACAUUGGUAGAUCAUAAAAAUUGAAAAACCAGACUCUAAGGUUUUACACUAUGCAUGCAAAAGAUGAAUCACAUGCAAGAUAGUAAUCCAUGAGUGUAAACUGGCUAAAAUAUGAAAACCAUCUUUGUUUAGAAAUUGCAUUAGACCCAAGUUUAUAAGGUUAUUUACAGUUUACUUAAAUGAAAUAUAGCUUCAUAAUUGAAUUUCAUGGUUAAUUUUUCACAAAAAUAUUAAUCUACUAGAAAAAUCAUUUGCAUAUAUCUACCAAAAAAACCCAACAACCUACUUAAAUGUUUGAGAUGAGAUGAGAUGGCACUACCUGCCAGAAAACUUGCACAGAAUUGCUGUCUCUGUAUGUUAACAUCGUGCCAUUGAGGCACAAGGAACACUUGACUUUUACUUAAUUGAGUAGCUUUGACAUUUCUUGCAAGUUAAAGAGUAUCUUAAUAUCUAUUGAUGUUUUCCUUGUAGGCAGCAGAGUAAGGUUUCAUUUGUCUUUUCAAAAGCUUAUUUUUUCCUGUUUAAAGGGGCUAAUGUCAAGUAUUGAAUCCUGGUUUUGCCUCCCCCCUCUUAUGAGUAUGAAGGGAGUCAUCCCUUGAAAUGUAAAAUUUAUUCCCCUGUUUUACUGAAAAAGAAAAAAAAAUUAAAAAG